This 504-nucleotide ribosomal RNA is filed under the name uncultured Glomeromycotina. RNAcentral's name for it is "partial small subunit ribosomal RNA". It matches the Rfam family "Eukaryotic small subunit ribosomal RNA", at positions 591 to 1091 of the family's 1831-position model. The record is from RNAcentral. Lineage: Eukaryota; Fungi; Glomeromycota.
CCAAUAGCGUAUAUUAAAGUUGUUGCAGUUAAAAAGCUCGUAGUUGAAUUUCGGGAUUGACACAUCGGUCGUGCCUUAAGGGGUAUGAACUGGUGUAGUCAGUUUCUCACCUUCUGGAGAACCGCGAUGUCCUUAAUUGGGUGCCGCGGGGAACCAGGACCUUUACUUUGAAAAAAUUAGAGUGUUUAAAGCAGGCAUUUUGCUUGAAUACAUUAGCAUGGAAUAAUAAAAUAGGACGGAUGGUUCUAUUUUGUUGGUUUCUAGGAUCACCGUAAUGAUUAAUAGGGAUAGUUGGGGGCAUUAGUAUUCAAUUGUCAGAGGUGAAAUUCUUGGAUUUAUUGAAGACUAACUACUGCGAAAGCAUUUGCCAAGGAUGUUUUCAUUAAUCAAGAACGAAAGUUAGGGGAUCGAAGACGAUCAGAUACCGUCGUAGUCUUAACCAUAAACUAUGCCGACUAGGAAUCAGACGAUGUUAAUUUUUUAAUGACUCGUUUGGCACCUUAC